GUGCCAGCCGCCGCGGUAAUACCGGCAGCCCGAGUGAUGGCCGAUCUUAUUGGGCCUAAAGCGUCCGUAGCUGGCUGCGCAAGUCCGUCGGGAAAUCCAGUAGCCCAACUACUGGGCGUCCGGCGGAAACUACAAGGCUUGGGACCGGAAGGCUCGAGGGGUACGUCCGGGGUAGGAGUGAAAUCCCGUAAUCCCGAACGGACACCGAUGGCGAAAGCACCUCGAGAAGACGGCUUCGACAGUGAGGGACGAAAGCUCGGGUCUCAAACCGGAUUAGAAACCCGGGUAGUCC
RNAcentral lists this ribosomal RNA (292 nucleotides) under uncultured bacterium. RNAcentral describes it as "partial 16S ribosomal RNA". It matches the Rfam family "Archaeal small subunit ribosomal RNA", at positions 455 to 747 of the family's 1478-position model. The record is from RNAcentral.